UCUGGUUGAUCCUGCCGGAGGACAUUGCUAUUGGGAUUCGAUUUANCCAUGCUAGUCGUACGAGUUUANACUCNUGGCGAAUAGCUCANUAACACGUGGCCAAGCUACCCUUCANACCAUGAUAACCUCGGGAAACUGAGGCUAAUAAUGGAUACGGUAUGCAUGCUGGAAUGCGGCAUACUCCAAACGUUGANACGCUGAAGGAUGCGGCUGCGGCCGAUUAGGUANACGGUGGGGUAACGGCCCACCGUGCCAAUAAUUGGUACGGGUGAUGAGAGUCANAGCCCGGAGACGGAAUCUGAGACAAGAUUCCGGGCCCUACGGGGCGCAGCAGGCGCGAAACCUUUACACUGCACGGAAGUGCGAUAGGGGAAUCCCAAGUGCGAAGGCAUACUANCCUUCGCUUUUGUUGACUGUAAGGAGGUCANCGAAUAAAAGCUGGGCAAGACCGGUGCCAGCCGCCGCGGNAAUACCGGCAGCUCGAGUGAUGUCCAAUAUUAUUGGGCCUAAAGCGUCCGUAGCUGGCCANCCAAGUCCGUCGGNAAAUCCACCUGCCCAACAGGUGGGCGUCCGGCGNAAACUGUCUGGNUUGGAACCGGAAGGCUCANAGGGUACUUCCGGGGUAGGAGUGAAAUCCCGUAAUCCCGGACGGACCACCGAUGGCGAAAGCACCUNUGAGGANACGGAUUCNACAGUGAGGNACGAAAGCUAGGGUCUCGAACCGGAUUAAAUACCCGGNUANUCCUAGCUGUAAACGAUGCUCGUUAAAUGUGGCACCCACUANNANNGGUGCUGUGNNUAANGGAAAGCCCCUUAAACNNACCCCCN
RNAcentral lists this ribosomal RNA (828 nucleotides) under uncultured archaeon. RNAcentral describes it as "partial 16S ribosomal RNA". It matches the Rfam family "Archaeal small subunit ribosomal RNA", at positions 4 to 828 of the family's 1478-position model. The record is from RNAcentral.